This 937-nucleotide ribosomal RNA is filed under the name Escherichia coli. RNAcentral describes it as "partial 23S ribosomal RNA". It matches the Rfam family "Bacterial large subunit ribosomal RNA", at positions 419 to 1353 of the family's 2925-position model. Lineage: Bacteria; Pseudomonadati; Pseudomonadota; Gammaproteobacteria; Enterobacterales; Enterobacteriaceae. The record is from RNAcentral.
GGGACACGUGGUAUCCUGUCUGAAUAUGGGGGGACCAUCCUCCAAGGCUAAAUACUCCUGACUGACCGAUAGUGAACCAGUACCGUGAGGGAAAGGCGAAAAGAACCCCGGCGAGGGGAGUGAAAAAGAACCUGAAACCGUGUACGUACAAGCAGUGGGAGCACAGAGCAAUCUGUGUGACUGCGUACCUUUUGUAUAAUGGGUCAGCGACUUAUAUUCUGUAGCAAGGUUAACCGAAUAGGGGAGCCGAAGGGAAACCGAGUCUUAACUGGGCGUUAAGUUGCAGGGUAUAGACCCGAAACCCGGUGAUCUAGCCAUGGGCAGGUUGAAGGUUGGGUAACACUAACUGGAGGACCGAACCGACUAAUGUUGAAAAAUUAGCGGAUGACUUGUGGCUGGGGGUGAAAGGCCAAUCAAACCGGGAGAUAGCUGGUUCUCCCCGAAAGCUAUUUAGGUAGCGCCUCGUGAAUUCAUCUCCGGGGGUAGAGCACUGUUUCGGCAAGGGGGUCAUCCCGACUUACCAACCCGAUGCAAACUGCGAAUACCGGAGAAUGUUAUCACGGGAGACACACGGCGGGUGCUAACGUCCGUCGUGAAGAGGGAAACAACCCAGACCGCCAGCUAAGGUCCCAAAGUCAUGGUUAAGUGGGAAACGAUGUGGGAAGGCCCAGACAGCCAGGAUGUUGGCUUAGAAGCAGCCAUCAUUUAAAGAAAGCGUAAUAGCUCACUGGUCGAGUCGGCCUGCGCGGAAGAUGUAACGGGGCUAAACCAUGCACCGAAGCUGCGGCAGCGACGCUUAUGCGUUGUUGGGUAGGGGAGCGUUCUGUAAGCCUGUGAAGGUGUGCUGUGAGGCAUGCUGGAGGUAUCAGAAGUGCGAAUGCUGACAUAAGUAACGAUAAAGCGGGUGAAAAGCCCGCUCGCCGGAAGACCAAGGGUU